AGUGAAGCGGCAACAGCUUCAAAUUUGAAAGCUGGCUUCGGCCCGCGUUGUAAUUUGGAGAGGAUGCUUUGGGCGAGGCUCCUUCUGAGUUCCCUGGAACGGGACGCCACAGAGGGUGAGAGCCCCGUAUAGUUGGAAGCCAAGCCUGUGUAAAGCUCCUUCGACGAGUCGAGUAGUUUGGGAAUGCUGCUCAAAAUGGGAGGUAAAUUUCUUCUAAAGCUAAAUACCGGCCAGAGACCGAUAGCGCACAAGUAGAGUGAUCGAAAGAUGAAAAGCACUUUGAAAAGAGGGUUAAAUAGCACGUGAAAUUGUUGAAAGGGAAGCGCUUGUGACCAGACUUGCGCCCGGCGGAUCAUCCGGUGUUCUCACCGGUGCACUCCGCCGGGCUCAGGCCAGCAUCGGUUCUGGCGGGGGGAUAAAGGCCCAGGGAAUGUGGCUCCUCCGGGAGUGUUAUAGCCCUGGGUGUAAUACCCUCGCCGGGACCGAGGACCGCGCUCU
RNAcentral lists this ribosomal RNA (498 nucleotides) under Thermochaetoides thermophila. Its description in RNAcentral is "eukaryotic LSU rRNA". It matches the Rfam family "Eukaryotic large subunit ribosomal RNA", at positions 92 to 601 of the family's 3401-position model. Lineage: Eukaryota; Fungi; Ascomycota; Sordariomycetes; Sordariales; Chaetomiaceae. The record is from RNAcentral.